UCGAGAAUCUUCGGCAAUGGCCGCAAGUCUGACCGAGCGACGCCGCGUGCGGGAUGAAGGCCUUCGGGUUGUAAACCGCUGUCAGAGGGGAUGAAAUUUUGACAUAUCCUCAGAGGAAGGACGGGCUAAGUUCGUGCCAGCAGCCGCGGUAAGACGCACCGUCCAAACGUUAUUCGGUAUUACUGGGCUUAAAGGGUGCGUAGGCGGCCUGUUAAGUUGGGUGUGAAAUCCCUCGGCUCAACCGAGGAACUGCGCCCAAAACUAGCAGGCUUGAGGGAGUCAGAGGUGAGCGGAACUCAGGGUGGAGCGGUGAAAUGCGUUGAUAUCCUGGGGAACACCGGUUGCGAAAGCGGCUCACUGGGGCUCUACUGACGCUGAGGCACGAAAGCUAGGGGAGCAAACGG
RNAcentral lists this ribosomal RNA (404 nucleotides) under uncultured bacterium. Its description in RNAcentral is "bacterial SSU rRNA". It matches the Rfam family "Bacterial small subunit ribosomal RNA", at positions 355 to 775 of the family's 1533-position model. The record is from RNAcentral.